This 155-nucleotide ribosomal RNA is filed under the name uncultured bacterium. Its description in RNAcentral is "partial 16S ribosomal RNA". It matches the Rfam family "Bacterial small subunit ribosomal RNA", at positions 396 to 539 of the family's 1533-position model. The record is from RNAcentral.
GCCGCGUGUAUGAUGAAAUGCCUUCGGGAUGUAAACUUCUUAAGAACGGGAAGAAUAGGACGGAGCGAACACCUCCGUUGAUGACGGUACCGUUAGUAAGCUCCGGCUAACUCCGUGCCAGCAGCCGCGGUAAUACUUUGGGUGCCCGCCCCCGC